GUGGGGAAUAUUGGACAAUGGGCGAAAGCCUGAUCCAGCCAUGCCGCGUGUGUGAAGAAGGUCUUCGGAUUGUAAAGCACUUUAAGUUGGGAGGAAGGGCAGUAAGUUAAUACCUUGCUGUUUUGACGUUACCGACAGAAUAAGCACCGGCUAACUUCGUGCCAGCAGCCGCGGUAAUACAGAGGGUGCAAACGUUGCUCGGAAUUACUGGGCGUAAAGCGCGUGUAGGCUGACAUGCAAGUCGGGUGUGAAAUCCCAGGGAUCAACCUUGGAACUGCACUCGAAACUGCACGUCUUGAGUACUGGAGAGGGAAGCGGAAUUCCGGGUGUAGAGGUGAAAUUCGUAGAUAUCCGGAGGAACACCAGUGGCGAAGGCGGCUUCCUGGACAGUAACUGACGCUGAGACGCGAAAGCGUGGGGAGCAAACAGGAUUAGAAACCCUGGUAGUCC
RNAcentral lists this ribosomal RNA (450 nucleotides) under uncultured bacterium. RNAcentral describes it as "partial 16S ribosomal RNA". It matches the Rfam family "Bacterial small subunit ribosomal RNA", at positions 354 to 796 of the family's 1533-position model. The record is from RNAcentral.